GACUGCUCUGAGUCGAGGCGGUAGGAGCAGAGGUCCAGAGAGAUGAGUUCAGUGGCUGCAAAGGAGCAAAGAGCCAUGUUGUCCCUUGUGCUCCAUGUGCCAGGACAAGGAAGCUGCAGCUGUCCACGCCCAGCGCUCUUCCAGGCUGAGACACAAGGACAGAAAAUCAAGGUCAGCUUGCAACAUGCCAAGACCUAUCUCAAAAAACAAAACAAAACAACAACAAAAAUCAACCUACAGAAAAAUAUAGCAUAAACCACCUUCCACGAUGCAGAUUUAACAAGCACUAGUAUUUUGCUCUAUUAGCUUUGAAUCUGUAUUCUAAAUGUUCCACACACACUUGAACCUUAUGUGGAAAGGUUCUAAUCCCUGAUCCUGUUUUCCUGAAAAGUAACUACAAUCAUGAAAUAUGUGUUUAUUCUUUAAUUUUUUUUUUUUUUGCAGUACUUGGGAUUGAACCUAGGGCCAUCAUACUAAGCUACAUCCCCAGCCUUCUCUUUUUUUUUUUUUUCAAUUUUGAAACAGUCUCAUUAAGUCACUAAGUUGCCCAGGCUGGGCUUGAACUUGCAAUCCUCUUGCCUCAGACUCCCAGAGUGCUGGGAUCACAAACAUGAGGCCCCAUGCCUGGCUAUAAGAGUUUCUCUAGAGUGGUGGUGAGGAACUUAUGGCACAUGUGCCACAAGUGGGCACACAGAGUCCUCUCUGUUGGCUCAUGAGCCAAGUCCCCACAGAAGAUAAGGAUCGGUUAACAGCAUACACAGGGGCCAUGCACAUGCUCUGGAAGGAGUAGCGGCACCAGGUGAUGACAUCACCAGCAGCCUGGGCACUUGGUCUUUAAAAGGUUCGCCAUCACUGCUCUAGAACAUAUGCUUCUUGAUAAGGUUCCCUGUAGACCUUAGGACUCACAGGAUUGUGAGAGGUAGUGAAUGAAAUAUUUCCGGUGAGGGUGUUGGUUCCAUGUCUGCUGUCAGAUCUGAAGUCAGCAGGACCAACAGAGAAAGAGGAUGAGUAGUGGAAAGCAGAAACCCUUAGGAACUGACAGAGCCAGCUGUCACUUGUUGAACAGCACCUGAAUGGGGGAGUGAGGAUGAAGAAAAAGAAAGACGCAGAGAUAGAGUCGGGAGCCUCCCAGAGAGACUGCCGCCGCGCUUUAUUUUUAUUCUCCUCCCCUUUUUAUCACAGUCCUGGUCUAGCAGCCUCGGAACCACUAGAUCUGAACCCCAACCUACAGGAUUCUCAGACUUGAGCAUUCUGUAAUUUACAGCUCAAGACAGACAUCCUGGGACAAUAUCUGUGAUGCUGCCAGCUUGAUUUAGGUCCUGGCCAGGAGAGUCUGUCCGCUUGUCCCCUGUCCUGAGUGACUCUGCCCUGCCUGAG
This 1377-nucleotide long non-coding RNA is filed under the name Heterocephalus glaber (naked mole-rat). RNAcentral describes it as "lncRNA (ENSHGLG00000042749.1)". The record is from RNAcentral. Lineage: Eukaryota; Metazoa; Chordata; Mammalia; Rodentia; Bathyergidae.